UACGAAGGGGGCUAGCGUUGCUCGGAAUGACUGGGCGUAAAGGGCGCGUAGGCGGAUGGCACAGUCAGAUGUGAAAUUCCCGGGCUUAACCUGGGGGCUGCAUUUGAUACGUGUUGUCUUGAGUUCGGAAGAGGGUCGUGGAAUUCCCAGUGUAGAGGUGAAAUUCGUAGAUAUUGGGAAGAACACCGGUGGCGAAGGCGGCGACCUGGUCCGACAAUGACGCUGAGGCGCGAAAGCGUGGGGAGCAAACAGG
This 253-nucleotide ribosomal RNA is filed under the name uncultured bacterium. RNAcentral describes it as "partial 16S ribosomal RNA". It matches the Rfam family "Bacterial small subunit ribosomal RNA", at positions 524 to 776 of the family's 1533-position model. The record is from RNAcentral.